This is a long non-coding RNA of Papilio polytes (common Mormon), 390 nucleotides long. RefSeq lists it as uncharacterized. The record is from RefSeq and is a predicted model, not a curated record. The transcript has 3 exons. NCBI's taxonomy places the organism in Eukaryota, Metazoa, Arthropoda, Insecta, Lepidoptera, Papilionidae.
AUAUUGUUAAAGGGAUUGGAAAGAGGGUAGUUGCUGGAAGAUUUUAUGCAAGAUAUUUUGCGAGGGAGGAUAACGAGCUUGGAUCGGAGACUCGUGUUUUAACGACUGAAGCGAGUGUACCUAGAUCACCCACGCGCUCUCGGCUCCGCUCUCUUGAUAUAUUCAGAGGGUUCUGUAUUGCUCUUAUGAUCUUUGUGAAUGCCGGUGGCGGUGGCUAUGGUAUCUUCAAGCACUCUGUAUGGAACGGUCUGACGGUCGCUGAUGUGGUGUUCCCCUGGUUCGCGUUUGCGAUGGGCGAAGCCCUAGUGCUGUCGCUGCAUGCCAGACUUAGAACUUCGCUACCGAGACUCUCAGCGUUUGGUCAGGUAUGUGUAAACGUUUUUAACUGCU